AUAAUAACAAACAAUAUUUAUCUUUGUGGUGA
RNAcentral lists this non-coding RNA (32 nucleotides) under Trypanosoma brucei brucei. Lineage: Eukaryota; Euglenozoa; Kinetoplastea; Trypanosomatida; Trypanosomatidae. The record is from RNAcentral.